GCAUAAUAAUUUGCUUUUUAAUUGAAGGCUAGAAUGAACGGAUAAACGAAAUUUAAACUGUGUCACUUAUAAUGAUAGAAAUUAUACUUUAGGUGAAGAUACCUAAAUUCUUUUGAAAGACAAGAAGACCCUAUAGAAUUUAAAUUUUAUUUAUCCUCGAUAAAUAAUAAUAUUUUAGUUGGGGCGACUAGAGAUUAAAAAAAACAUCUCGUUAUUAUACGAAUCUUAUUCUUAUUAAAGAUCCUGUUUUCAGAUUAUAAAAAUAAAUUACCUUAGGGAUAACAGGCUUAUCCUCCUUAAAAGUUCUUAUAGACAGGAGGGUUUGGCACCUCGAUGUUGGCUUAGAGUAACCUAAUAAUGCAGAAGUUAUUAAUGGUUAGUUUGUUCAACUAUUAAAUCUCU
Molecule: ribosomal RNA, 402 nt
Filed under: Macellicephalinae sp. 020-BGR-0199
Lineage: Eukaryota; Metazoa; Annelida; Polychaeta; Phyllodocida; Polynoidae
Description: partial 16S ribosomal RNA
Rfam family: Bacterial large subunit ribosomal RNA
Source: RNAcentral